This 899-nucleotide ribosomal RNA is filed under the name uncultured bacterium. RNAcentral's name for it is "bacterial SSU rRNA". It matches the Rfam family "Bacterial small subunit ribosomal RNA", at positions 61 to 982 of the family's 1533-position model. The record is from RNAcentral.
GUCGACGAGAGAAUUGCUAGCUUGCUAAUAAUUCUCAAGUGGCGCACGGGUGAGUAACACGUGAGUAACCUGCCCCCGAGAGCGGGAUAGCCCUGGAAACUGGGAUUAAUACCGCAUAGUAUCGAAAGAUUAAAGCAGCAAUGCGCUUGGGGAUGGGCUCGCGGCCUAUUAGUUAGUUGGUGAGGUAACGGCUCACCAAGGCGAUGACGGGUAGCCGGUCUGAGAGGAUGUCCGGCCACACUGGAACUGAGACACGGUCCAGACACCUACGGGUGGCAGCAGUCGAGAAUCAUUCACAAUGGGGGAAACCCUGAUGGUGCGACGCCGCGUGGGGGAAUGAAGGUCUUCGGAUUGUAAACCCCUGUCAUGUGGGAGCAAAUUAAAAAGAUAGUACCACAAGAGGAAGAGACGGCUAACUCUGUGCCAGCAGCCGCGGUAAUACAGAGGUCUCAAGCGUUGUUCGGAAUCACUGGGCGUAAAGCGUGCGUAGGCUGUUUCGUAAGUCGUGUGUGAAAGGCGCGGGCUCAACCCGCGGACGGCACAUGAUGCUGCGAGACUAGAGUAAUGGAGGGGGAACCGGAAUUCUCGGUGUAGCAGUGAAAUGCGUAGAUAUCGAGAGGAACACUCGUGGCGAAGGCGGGUUCCUGGACACUAACUGACGCUGAGGCACGAAGGCCAGGGGAGCGAAAGGGAUUAGAUACCCCUGUAGUCCUGGCAGUAAACGGUGCACGCUUGGUGUGCGGGGAAUCGACCCCCUGCGUGCCGGAGCUAACGCGUUAAGCGUGCCGCCUGGGGAGUACGGUCGCAAGAUUAAAACUCAAAGAAAUUGACGGGGACCCGCACAAGCGGUGGAGUAUGUGGCUUAAUUCGAUGNCACGCGAAGAACCUUACNUGGGCUU